AUAACUAAGCGGAGGAAAAGAAACUAACUAGGAUUCCCCCAGUAACGGCGAGUGAAGCGGGAAGAGCUCAUGUUGUAAAUCUGCCCUCGUGGCCGAAUUGUAGUCUGGAGAGGCGUGGCUAGACGUGGACGGGGAUGAAGUCUCUUGGAAAAGAGCAUCAUGGAGGGUGAAAAUCCCGUGCUUGUCCCCGGUCGACGAUCGUAAAACCCGUUUUCUAAGAGUCGAGUUGCUUGGGAUUGCAGCUCAAAGUGGGUGGUAAAUUCCAUCUAAAGCUAAACACGCGUAGGAGACCGAUAGCGAACAAGUACCGUGAGGGAAAGAUGGAAAGAACUUUGAAAAGAGAGUUAAAGAGUGCCUGAAAUUGCUGAAAGAGAAGCGAAGGAAAUCAGUGUCUGUCGGUUCCGCUUCUUUGGCGUUCCUCGGAGCGCCUUAUUGCGUUUCCGUCGUGGCCAGGGUCGGGUAGUAUUGCGGGAGCCUGCGCUGUCGGGAGGUACGUCUCCUUUGGAGAUGGAAUGCCGUGGCGUGUCGUCGCGAUGGUGGCCGACCCUGACGAAAUGGUUUUCUUCAC
RNAcentral lists this ribosomal RNA (568 nucleotides) under Himanthalia elongata. RNAcentral describes it as "eukaryotic LSU rRNA". It matches the Rfam family "Eukaryotic large subunit ribosomal RNA", at positions 42 to 647 of the family's 3401-position model. The record is from RNAcentral. Lineage: Eukaryota; Phaeophyceae; Fucales; Himanthaliaceae.